GUCCCUAUAGCGCAAUAGACAGCGCGUUGGACUUCUAAUCCAAAGGUCGUGGGUUUGAAUCCCACCUGGGAUG
This 73-nucleotide transfer RNA is filed under the name Trichonephila inaurata madagascariensis. It matches the Rfam family "tRNA". From Rfam's summary of the family: Transfer RNA (tRNA) molecules are approximately 80 nucleotides in length. Their secondary structure includes four short double-helical elements and three loops (D, anti-codon, and T loops). Further hydrogen bonds mediate the characteristic L-shaped molecular structure. tRNAs have two regions of fundamental functional importance: the anti-codon, which is responsible for specific mRNA codon recognition, and the 3' end, to which the tRNAs corresponding amino acid is attached (by aminoacyl-tRNA synthetases). tRNAs cope with the degeneracy of the genetic code in two manners: having more than one tRNA (with a specific anti-codon) for a particular amino acid; and 'wobble' base-pairing, i.e. permitting non-standard base-pairing at the 3rd anti-codon position. The record is from Rfam by way of RNAcentral. Lineage: Eukaryota; Metazoa; Arthropoda; Arachnida; Araneae; Nephilidae.